UUCCAGACUCCUACGGGAGGCAGCAGUGAGGAAUAUUGGUCAAUGGGCUUACGCCUGAACCAGCCAAGUCGCGUGAGGGAAGACUGCCCUAUGGGUUGUAAACCUCUUUUGUCAGGGAGCAAUUGGCGCUACGUGUAGCGUUAUCGAGAGUACCUGAAGAAGAAGCCCCGGCUAACUACGUGCCAGCAGCCGCGGUAAUACGUAGGGGGCAAGCGUUAUCCGGAUUUACUGGGUGUAAAGGGGGCGCAGACGGCGAUGCAAGCCAGGAGUGAAAGCCCGGGGCCCAACCCCGGGACUGCUCUUGGAACUGCGUGGCUGGAGUGCAGGAGGGGCAGGCGGAAUUCCUGGUGUAGCGGUGAAAUGCGUAGAUAUCAGGAGGAACACCGGUGGCGAAGGCGGCCUGCUGGACUGCAACUGACGUUGAGGCCCGAAAGCGUGGGGAGCAAACAGGAUUAGAUACCCGAGUA
This 467-nucleotide ribosomal RNA is filed under the name uncultured bacterium. RNAcentral describes it as "bacterial SSU rRNA". It matches the Rfam family "Bacterial small subunit ribosomal RNA", at positions 329 to 792 of the family's 1533-position model. The record is from RNAcentral.